RNAcentral lists this RNase P RNA (396 nucleotides) under Streptosporangiales bacterium. RNAcentral describes it as "RNase P RNA component class A". It matches the Rfam family "Bacterial RNase P class A". Rfam says of the family: Ribonuclease P (RNase P) is a ubiquitous endoribonuclease, found in archaea, bacteria and eukarya as well as chloroplasts and mitochondria. Its best characterised activity is the generation of mature 5'-ends of tRNAs by cleaving the 5'-leader elements of precursor-tRNAs. The record is from RNAcentral. Lineage: Bacteria; Bacillati; Actinomycetota; Actinomycetes; Streptosporangiales.
CGAGUCGGCCGGGCGGUCGCGGCGGUGUCGUGAGACAUCGUCGAGGAAAGUCCGGGCUCCACAGGGCAAGGUGGUGGGCAACACCCACCCGGGGUGACCCGCGGGACAGUGCCACAGAAAGCAGACCGCCGUUGCGGUCCGCCGCAGCGGUAAGGGUGAAACGGUGGUGUAAGAGACCACCAGCGCCCGAGGUGACUCGGGCGGCUCGGUAAACCCCACCCGGAGCAAGGCCAAGAGGGUCCGGCACGCCGGACCUGCGCAGACGUCCGAGGGCGGCCCGCCCGAGUCUGCGGGUAGGCCGCUACAGGCUGCCGGCAACGGCAGUCGCAGAGGGAUGGCCGCCGGCACCGACUUCGGUCGGUGUCACAGAACCCGGCUUACAGGCCGACUCGUCCG